UACGAAGGGGGCUAGCGUUGUUCGGAAUCACUGGGCGUAAAGCGCACGUAGGCGGAUCUUUAAGUCAGGGGUGAAAUCCCAGAGCUCAACUCUGGAACUGCCCUUGAUACUGGGGAUCUUGAGUCCGGAAGAGGUAAGUGGAACUGCGAGUGUAGAGGUGAAAUUCGUAGAUAUUCGCAAGAACACCAGUGGCGAAGGCGGCUUACUGGUCCGGUACUGACGCUGAGGUGCGAAAGCGUGAGGAGCAAACAGGAUUAGAAACCCUGGUAGU
Molecule: ribosomal RNA, 271 nt
Filed under: uncultured bacterium
Lineage: Bacteria
Description: partial 16S ribosomal RNA
Rfam family: Bacterial small subunit ribosomal RNA
Source: RNAcentral